RNA transcript from Triticum dicoccoides, 1639 nucleotides. It is a transcript of the gene named protein BTR1-like, with no coding region annotated. The transcript is spliced from 9 exons. The record is from RefSeq and is a predicted model, not a curated record. NCBI's taxonomy places the organism in Eukaryota, Viridiplantae, Streptophyta, Magnoliopsida, Poales, Poaceae.
CAACAGGAGUCAACCCCCAUUUCCUUUCCGUCCCCCUCUACGCGCCGCGCCGCCAUGGAUCCCGCCGCCGACGACGGCCGCUCACCUUCACCCGUCCCGGACCCAGACGACGGCGAAGGCGGCAGCGGGUGGGGGAGCGACAAGCCGCCGCCCACGCGCGCGGAGGAGGGGCGCGUCGUCGGGAAGGCCGCCAUGGAACCCUCGCCGUCGCCGCCGGACUCCACCGUCUCCGACCAAGACGACGACGACCUGACGCGCGCCGUGUCCCUGCUGUCGCUCGCGGAGGCCGGGAAGGCCGGGUCCGCCCCCCGCGCCGUGGAUCCGUCGCCGCCGUCCUCCGCCGUCUCCUCCCACGGUCACAAAGAUGAUGAUGAUCUCGCCGGCGUGAACAAGCGGACGCACGCGAGGUUCCUCGUCACCCACGCCCAGGCCGGGCUCAUCAUCGGGAUGGGUGGCUCCACUGUCGCCGCUGUCGAGGCCCGCUCCGGCGCCCGGGUCAAGCUCUCCCGCCACGACCAGCUCCUCCCCGGCACCGACCGCAGGGUCGUGCUCGUCCAUGGCCUCCUCAGCCAGGUCAUGGACGCCAUGGAGCUACUGCUCCAAAGGCUCUUGCUCUACCAGGUUCAGGGUGACCAGGCGGUCGACUCUGAGCCCACGCUAGUGCUCGUCGUGCCUCAGCCCUGCUGCGGCGUGCUCAUCGGCAAAGGAGGAUCUGUUAUCAAGUCAUUCACUGAAGCUUCGGAAACUGCAAUUCAGAUCUCACCACACAACAUCUCCUAUGGCUUCAACGACAGGCUGGUCACCAUCACAGGGCCCUUGGAUAAUCUAUUGCGAGCAGUGUUUCUGAUAAUAUUUGAGCUGUUAGAGGACAUUCGUUAUUUGUUUCCAUGUGCAGCUGCUACGCCAAACAUUCCAAUGAGAUCACCUGUUAAUAAGGAUGCCCAAGAAUCUGUCACUAUUGCUGUUGCUGAUGAGCAUAUGGGUUCUGUUAUUGGUCGUGGUGGAAGGAUUGUCAAUGAGAUCAGCAAGCAUGCCUGGAAUUUUUUUUUUUUUGACCAACUUCUCUAGAGGUGUUGCAUCCUCCUAGAUGAGUUGUGUUAAGGAAAGCUGGUUUUGUUUGGGUUACUGUCGUCAUCUGGUCCUAUAUAUAUGCGGUGCUUAAGUAAAGCAAAGUCACUUGCAGCAAGAAGAGGGUAGUAGUAGUGUUCCUUACUCGUGAACAGUACUGUAUAUGGCACCAUGCAUGUGGGUUUUCUAUGUAAGCUUGCACCAAUAUAAUGGGAAGGUAUAUAUUAAAGAAACUGAAGAACUGGACUAGCGUGUGUCGAUCACGCGUACAAGGCAGGCAGAAGGUUCUCUAGUUUGUCAGUCAUAUGAUGGUUUGUUUGGGUUAUCAUGAGAUGUGAGGCCUGUUAAAAGUCGUUGGCAUUCAUUAGCCAAGCUCCUGUCCCCAACAGAGCAUGUGCACUAGGAAGGAAGGAACAUGUGUGCAUGGUGCAGUUAGUGGAGCAUGGAUUGACAUCUCAGGCAAGGGGGAGUUCAUGCCCGGGACUCGCGACAGGGAGGUGAUUAUGAGGGGAACAUCAGAGGCGAUCCGCGCAGCCGAGGCGAUGAUCAUGCACCGUGUCUCCGUGGCCAG